UCGGGAAUUUUGGGCAAUGGGCGAAAGCCUGACCCAGCAACGCCGCGUGAAGGAUGAAGUAUUUCGGUAUGUAAACUUCGUAAGAAUAGGAAGAAUAAAUGACGGUACUAUUUGUAAGGUCCGGCUAACUACGUGCCAGCAGCCGCGGUAAUACGUAGGGACCAAGCGUUGUUCGGAUUUACUGGGCGUAAAGGGCGCGUAGGCGGCGUGGUAAGUCAUUUGUGAAAUCUCCGAGCUUAACUCGGAACGGUCAGAUGAUACUGCUGUGCUAGAGUACAGAAGGGGCAAUCGGAAUUCUUGGUGUAGCGGUGAAAUGCGUAGAUAUCAAGAGGAACACCUGAGGUGAAGACGGGUUGCUGGGCUGAUACUGACGCUGAGGCGCGAAAGCGUGGGGAGCAAACAGGAUUAGAUACCCCCGUAGUCCCUGAGCGGGCUGGCAAGGCGCAU
RNAcentral lists this ribosomal RNA (447 nucleotides) under uncultured bacterium. RNAcentral's name for it is "bacterial SSU rRNA". It matches the Rfam family "Bacterial small subunit ribosomal RNA", at positions 355 to 825 of the family's 1533-position model. The record is from RNAcentral.